Molecule: ribosomal RNA, 304 nt
Filed under: uncultured bacterium
Lineage: Bacteria
Description: partial 16S ribosomal RNA
Rfam family: Bacterial small subunit ribosomal RNA
Source: RNAcentral
CAGCAGUCGCCGCGGGAAUACGGAGGGUGCAAGCGUUAAUCGGAAUUACUGGGCGUAAAGCGCACGCAGGCGGUCUGUCAAGUCGGAUGUGAAAUCCCCGGGCUCAACCUGGGAACUGCAUCCGAAACUGGCAGGCUAGAGUCUUGUAGAGGGGGGUAGAAUUCCAGGUGUAGCGGUGAAAUGCGUAGAGAUCUGGAGGAAUACCGGUGGCGAAGGCGGCCCCCUGGACAAAGACUGACGCUCAGGUGCGAAAGCGUGGGGAGCAAACAGGAUUAGAUACCCCAGUAGUCCCUGUCUCUUAUAC